RNAcentral lists this ribosomal RNA (2904 nucleotides) under Escherichia coli TW07793. Its description in RNAcentral is "bacterial LSU rRNA". It matches the Rfam family "Bacterial large subunit ribosomal RNA". The record is from RNAcentral. Lineage: Bacteria; Pseudomonadati; Pseudomonadota; Gammaproteobacteria; Enterobacterales; Enterobacteriaceae.
GGUUAAGCGACUAAGCGUACACGGUGGAUGCCCUGGCAGUCAGAGGCGAUGAAGGACGUGCUAAUCUGCGAUAAGCGUCGGUGAGGUGAUAUGAACCGUUAUAACCGGCGAUUUCCGAAUGGGGAAACCCAGUGUGUUUCGACACACUAUCAUUAACUGAAUCCAUAGGUUAAUGAGGCGAACCGGGGGAACUGAAACAUCUAAGUACCCCGAGGAAAAGAAAUCAACCGAGAUUCCCCCAGUAGCGGCGAGCGAACGGGGAGGAGCCCAGAGCCUGAAUCAGUGUGUGUGUUAGUGGAAGCGUCUGGAAAGGCGUGCGAUACAGGGUGACAGCCCCGUACACAAAAAUGCACAUGCUGUGAGCUCGAUGAGUAGGGCGGGACACGUGGUAUCCUGUCUGAAUAUGGGGGGACCAUCCUCCAAGGCUAAAUACUCCUGACUGACCGAUAGUGAACCAGUACCGUGAGGGAAAGGCGAAAAGAACCCCGGCGAGGGGAGUGAAAAAGAACCUGAAACCGUGUACGUACAAGCAGUGGGAGCCUCUUAAUGGGGUGACUGCGUACCUUUUGUAUAAUGGGUCAGCGACUUAUAUUCUGUAGCAAGGUUAACCGAAUAGGGGAGCCGAAGGGAAACCGAGUCUUAACUGGGCGUUAAGUUGCAGGGUAUAGACCCGAAACCCGGUGAUCUAGCCAUGGGCAGGUUGAAGGUUGGGUAACACUAACUGGAGGACCGAACCGACUAAUGUUGAAAAAUUAGCGGAUGACUUGUGGCUGGGGGUGAAAGGCCAAUCAAACCGGGAGAUAGCUGGUUCUCCCCGAAAGCUAUUUAGGUAGCGCCUCGUGAAUUCAUCUCCGGGGGUAGAGCACUGUUUCGGCAAGGGGGUCAUCCCGACUUACCAACCCGAUGCAAACUGCGAAUACCGGAGAAUGUUAUCACGGGAGACACACGGCGGGUGCUAACGUCCGUCGUGAAGAGGGAAACAACCCAGACCGCCAGCUAAGGUCCCAAAGUCAUGGUUAAGUGGGAAACGAUGUGGGAAGGCCCAGACAGCCAGGAUGUUGGCUUAGAAGCAGCCAUCAUUUAAAGAAAGCGUAAUAGCUCACUGGUCGAGUCGGCCUGCGCGGAAGAUGUAACGGGGCUAAACCAUGCACCGAAGCUGCGGCAGCGACACUAUGUGUUGUUGGGUAGGGGAGCGUUCUGUAAGCCUGUGAAGGUGUGCUGUGAGGCAUGCUGGAGGUAUCAGAAGUGCGAAUGCUGACAUAAGUAACGAUAAAGCGGGUGAAAAGCCCGCUCGCCGGAAGACCAAGGGUUCCUGUCCAACGUUAAUCGGGGCAGGGUGAGUCGACCCCUAAGGCGAGGCCGAAAGGCGUAGUCGAUGGGAAACAGGUUAAUAUUCCUGUACUUGGUGUUACUGCGAAGGGGGGACGGAGAAGGCUAUGUUGGCCGGGCGACGGUUGUCCCGGUUUAAGCGUGUAGGCUGGUUUUCCAGGCAAAUCCGGAAAACCAAGGCUGAGGCGUGAUGACGAGGCACUACGGUGCUGAAGUGACAAAUGCCCUGCUUCCAGGAAAAGCCUCUAAGCAUCAGGUAACAUUAAAUCGUACCCCAAACCGACACAGGUGGUCAGGUAGAGAAUACCAAGGCGCUUGAGAGAACUCGGGUGAAGGAACUAGGCAAAAUGGUGCCGUAACUUCGGGAGAAGGCACGCUGAUAUGUAGGUGAAGCGACUUGCUCGUGGAGCUGAAAUCAGUCGAAGAUACCAGCUGGCUGCAACUGUUUAUUAAAAACACAGCACUGUGCAAACACGAAAGUGGACGUAUACGGUGUGACGCCUGCCCGGUGCCGGAAGGUUAAUUGAUGGGGUUAGCGGUAACGCGAAGCUCUUGAUCGAAGCCCCGGUAAACGGCGGCCGUAACUAUAACGGUCCUAAGGUAGCGAAAUUCCUUGUCGGGUAAGUUCCGACCUGCACGAAUGGCGUAAUGAUGGCCAGGCUGUCUCCACCCGAGACUCAGUGAAAUUGAACUCGCUGUGAAGAUGCAGUGUACCCGCGGCAAGACGGAAAGACCCCGUGAACCUUUACUAUAGCUUGACACUGAACAUUGAGCCUUGAUGUGUAGGAUAGGUGGGAGGCUUUGAAGUGUGGACGCCAGUCUGCAUGGAGCCGGCCUUGAAAUACCACCCUUUAAUGUUUGAUGUUCUAACGUUGGCCCGUAAUCCGGGUUGCGGACAGUGUCUGGUGGGUAGUUUGACUGGGGCGGUCUCCUCCUAAAGAGUAACGGAGGAGCACGAAGGUUGGCUAAUCCUGGUCGGACAUCAGGAGGUUAGUGCAAUGGCAUAAGCCAGCUUGACUGCGAGCGUGACGGCGCGAGCAGGUGCGAAAGCAGGUCAUAGUGAUCCGGUGGUUCUGAAUGGAAGGGCCAUCGCUCAACGGAUAAAAGGUACUCCGGGGAUAACAGGCUGAUACCGCCCAAGAGUUCAUAUCGACGGCGGUGUUUGGCACCUCGAUGUCGGCUCAUCACAUCCUGGGGCUGAAGUAGGUCCCAAGGGUAUGGCUGUUCGCCAUUUAAAGUGGUACGCGAGCUGGGUUUAGAACGUCGUGAGACAGUUCGGUCCCUAUCUGCCGUGGGCGCUGGAGAACUGAGGGGGGCUGCUCCUAGUACGAGAGGACCGGAGUGGACGCAUCACUGGUGUUCGGGUUGUCAUGCCAAUGGCACUGCCCGGUAGCUAAAUGCGGAAGAGAUAAGUGCUGAAAGCAUCUAAGCACGAAACUUGCCCCGAGAUGAGUUCUCCCUGACUCCUUGAGGGUCCUGAAGGAACGUUGAAGACGACGACGUUGAUAGGCCGGGUGUGUAAGCGCAGCGAUGCGUUGAGCUAACCGGUACUAAUGAACCGUGAGGCUUAACCUU